Molecule: ribosomal RNA, 391 nt
Filed under: uncultured bacterium
Lineage: Bacteria
Description: bacterial SSU rRNA
Rfam family: Bacterial small subunit ribosomal RNA
Source: RNAcentral
GACGAACGCUGGCGGCGUGCUUAACACAUGCAAGUCGAGCGGUAAGGCCCUUUCGGGGGUACACGAGCGGCGAACGGGUGGGUAACACGUGGGUGACCUGCCCUCAGCUCUGGGAUAAGCCUGGGAAACCGGGUCUAAUACUGGAUAUGACUCCAUGACGCAUGCUGUGGGGUGGAAAGCCUUGUGCGGCUGAGGAUGGGCCCGCGGCCUAUCAGCUUGUUGGUGGGGUGANGGCCUACCAAGGCGACGACGGGUAGCCGGCCUGAGAGGGCGACCGGCCACACUGGGACUGAGACACGGCCCAGACUCCUACGGGAGGCAGCAGUGGGGAAUCUUGCGCAAUGGGCGAAAGCCUGACGCAGCGACGCCGCGUGAGGGAUGACGGCCUCGG